AUGGCUGGAGGGAAAGAAUGGAUUCUCGAUAGUGGAUGUACUGAUCAUAUGACCGGAGAUAAGGACAUAUUCCAUGAGCUUGCUAAGAACGACGGCCCAUGCAAGUACGUAACUUUUAGAGAUAACUCCAAGGGUAAGGUACUUGGCCUUCAUAAGGUGGCAAUUUCCAAUGAUAGCUCUAUCCAAAAUUUUAUGCUCGUUGAAUCUCUUGGCUACAAUCUCCUUUCCGUAUCUAUACUAGCCGACUUUGGUUUCAAUGUUCUAUUUACUGAAGUAGAUUUCCAUGUGUUUCAUAGAGAUAAUCAUAAUAUGGCGUUUACCGUUAUUCGUAGAGGUGAUUUAUAUAUUGUUGAUUUCACUAAGAGAGCCCAACCUCGUACUUGCUUAAUUGUUAAAUCUUCUAAAGGUUGGUUAUGGCAUAGAAGGUUAGGUCAUGUGGGCAUGCGAAAUCUUGAUAAGCUUAUUAAAGGUGAUCAUAUCCUUGGUGUUAAAGAUGUCAUAUUUGACAAGUAUAGACUUUGUAGUGCUUGUCAAGCAGGAAAACAGGUUGGAGGAAGUCAUCCCGUGAAGAACAUCAUGACCAUGAGAAGACCGCUUGAGCUACUUCAUAUGGAUCUUUUUGGUCCCAACGCCUACAAGAGUCUCGGUGGUAACUCGUUCGGUUCGGUCAUUGUUGACGACUUUUCAAGAUUUACAUGGGCAUUCUUUCUUGAUGACAAAUCGCAGGUCCAAAAGAUCUUCAAGAACUUUGCUAAGAAGGCCCAGAACCAAAUUUGA
RNAcentral lists this ribosomal RNA (777 nucleotides) under Triticum aestivum (bread wheat). Its description in RNAcentral is "partial small subunit ribosomal RNA". The record is from RNAcentral. Lineage: Eukaryota; Viridiplantae; Streptophyta; Magnoliopsida; Poales; Poaceae.